GAUGAACGCUGGCGGCGUGCCUAAUACAUGCAAGUCGAGCGCACAGACGAGGUGCUUGCUCCUCUGACGUUAGCGGCGGACGGGUGAGUAACACGUGGAUAACCUACCUAUAAGACUGGGAUAACUUCGGGAAACCGGAGCUAAUACCGGAUAAUAUAUUGAACCGCAAGGUUCAAUAGUGAAAGACGCUUUUGCUUUCACUAAUAGAGAGCUCCGAGCCGGCUUAGCUAGUUGGUGAGGUAAAGGCCUACCAAGGGAAAGAACAUGAGCCGACCCUGGGGGGGUGUCGGGCCACAUGGGAACGGGAAACGGGUCCAGACUCCUACGGGGGGAACCGGAGGGGAAUCUUCGGCAAGGGGGGAAAGCCGGACGGAGCAACGCGGCGUGGGUGAUGAAGGUCUUCGGAUCGUAAACUUCUUUUGUUGGGAAGGAACAAAGGUGGAAUUGAAUAUGCACGACGUGACGGUACCUAAUCAGAAAGCCACGGCUAACUACGUG
This 498-nucleotide ribosomal RNA is filed under the name uncultured bacterium. RNAcentral's name for it is "partial 16S ribosomal RNA". It matches the Rfam family "Bacterial small subunit ribosomal RNA", at positions 28 to 507 of the family's 1533-position model. The record is from RNAcentral.